Molecule: ribosomal RNA, 495 nt
Filed under: uncultured bacterium
Lineage: Bacteria
Description: partial 16S ribosomal RNA
Rfam family: Bacterial small subunit ribosomal RNA
Source: RNAcentral
GACGAACGCUGGCGGCGUGCCUAAUACAUGCAAGUAGAACGCUGAAGGAGGAGCUUGCUUCUCUGGAUGAGUUGCGAACGGGUGAGUAACGCGUAGGUAACCUGCCUGGUAGCGGGGGAUAACUAUUGGAAACGAUAGCUAAUACCGCAUAAUAGUAGAUGUUGCAUGACAUUUGCUUAAAAGGUGCAAUUGCAUCACUACCAGAUGGACCUGCGUUGUAUUAGCUAGUUGGUGGGGUAACGGCUCACCAAGGCGACGAUACAUAGCCGACCUGAGAGGGUGAUCGGCCACACUGGGACUGAGACACGGCCCAGACUCCUACGGGAGGCAGCAGUAGGGAAUCUUCGGCAAUGGACGGAAGUCUGACCGAGCAACGCCGCGUGAGUGAAGAAGGGUUUCGGAUCGUAAAGCUCGGUUGUAAGAGAAGAACGAGUGUGAGAGUGGAAAGUUCACACUGUGACGGUAUCUUACCAGAAAGGGACGGCUAACUACGUG